UAGCCGCAGUGAGACAACAGAUCAGUCCCGUGUUCAAGCCAGCCUAGAUCUGUUCUGCUUUACUCCUUUAUGUAGUUUCCCCAGUUUCAACAGGGAUGCCCUUCUGAGGAAGACCACAUGAAACCAGUGGAUACUCUUCCAGUGAAGCAAAUUCUUUUCCCAGCACUCUCAAUGGAUAAACAAAUUUCAAGUGAGAUUGAGACUACUUAGGAUCCUUUCUGGUUCAGUUGUGCACGUAUGGACUGAUGCCAAUGGAACCAAUGGAAUGUCUC
Molecule: long non-coding RNA, 272 nt
Organism: Harpia harpyja (harpy eagle)
Lineage: Eukaryota; Metazoa; Chordata; Aves; Accipitriformes; Accipitridae
Exons: 3
Source: RefSeq, a predicted model, not a curated record